Long non-coding RNA from Sapajus apella (tufted capuchin), 2678 nucleotides. RefSeq lists it as uncharacterized. The transcript is spliced from 2 exons. Lineage: Eukaryota; Metazoa; Chordata; Mammalia; Primates; Cebidae. The record is from RefSeq and is a predicted model, not a curated record.
UUGAGUUUAUCUUCUAUAUGAUCAAAGCAUUCGAAGACAUGAUGUUGUUAGCCUUCAUGACAUUCUGUCAGAAGGAGAGCAAGUUUCAAAUGACAGCCCUGUGUGCUGGAGUAAAUAUGGGCUGGAGGGGGUGUUGUAAAUAACUCCGGAAACCCAAAACAAAAUGCGGCAAAAUGAGCAGUGAGUAGACACACAGCAGGAAGAUGUGUCUGACAUAGCAUAAAGUUUGAAAUGAAAAGUGUUUCUGAAAGUUCAGUUCUCUUAUUUUCACUGUGCAUUUUGUCUCUGUCAUUUCCCAGUUGUGUGACCUUGAGAAAUUUACUUUGCCUCUCUGAGCACGGUGAUUAAUAUUGCUUUAUUUUCCUGUUGGAAUUAGACGCGGUACCUAUGUUCUGUUCCUCCCCCCACUUUCAGUUUAAUGAAAUGACUCAGUGCAGCCUGAAAUAGGGUCCCAGCCUGGGAACUUUUGGGAGGAACUAAGUGAGUAUUCACCCCAGCACCUGUCACAGAGCUUGGCACAUGGUUGGUUUGUGCUUGAUGAAUGUCAACUGAAUGACUGCAGAUAUAAAAACGUUGCUUUAUUUAACUUAUAGCCAGGGGGAAUUUUAAGGAGAUUAAUUAAUUUCUGGUACAUAAAUAAGCUGCUGAGAUUCCUGAAGUCAGAGCUGAUCUGCCCUUUACCCCAAUCAACCGCCACCUCUGGGCUCUGACUCCUCUACUUCUCUCUGGGCAAGGACCAGGGAGCCCAACCCCACUGGGCAAGGACCCAGGGAGGCAGCCUGUGAGAGCAAAGGACGCCUCUGGGCUGUAGACACACCAGUGAAGUUGGUCCAUUAAUGCCUUCCCCACAACUGAGAGCCUGAUGGGCUGUGCCUCUGCCCAUGUCCCCUCCACUGUGACUGCAGCUCUUCCUUUAGGGACUUUCUGUUUCCUUCAAGGCCAUCUUUGAACCUACGCUCACUCCCUAACUUGACUCGUCCCAGGGACAAAUGUCAUACAGUGUGACUUGGACCUGAGCUUUUAGGAUCUCCUGUUUGAGGAAUCCUGAAAUUGGCUGAAAAUGGGACGGUCUCUUCAGUAUUCCAACAUCCCCCUGUUCUGAAUGUUUCACACUCUAAUUUGCAUCUAGGAGGCAUUUGCUGACAAAAAGGAAGCUCAGUUUUGUCUCAAUUAUUAGAAAGUCCUCAUUAAUUAAUGAAUUCUUAGCUGUCUUUUAAAAUACUAAUCCUGAAGUCUCAGCACACUGCUAUCUGGCUAUUAGUGCCCUGCCUCAGUGACUCUUAUCAAGGCGACUAGCCACUUCCUAGUAUUGUCACAUCCAAGGGACACUUCCAGACAUGGCUAUAAGUCCUAUGCAGUUGUCCAUGCUCUUGCUUUCCCUUUCAGCAGUGAUCUCAGAGGCCACAUAUUUGAGGUAGAAGCAGCUGGGUCCUCUUGGAGGGGAGGCACCAAGGAGAGCUGACUACCACAUAAGGUUUUACCUUGAGCGAGAAAUAAAUCUCCAUUAUGUUAGGCUACUGAGAUUUGGGCUUGCUUGUUAUAGCAGCUAGUGUGUUACCCUGACUAUUAUGGAUACUAGUAGAAAUUCCUGAAAGGUGGGAUGUUAAUGAAAUGGCAAUUCAAGGGAGGGAAACAUGACACACAUGGUGGGUCCAUACUACUUGGCUCCUCCGUUAUUCCCUUUGAUAGUAACCCCAAACAUCUGCCUAGAGGUUCACAGCUUGCGUUGACAUCGUGUACAACCCCCACAGAUGAAGAUGGAGGAGAAUGAUGUCUCAGGAGGACCUGAGUCAGGCACAGCACACUCUCACCAUUUUUUCUGCUUGCCUCUAUCUCACCUAUGCGCUCACACUUCAGCCUGUCUGUAAAGUAUGCGACCAUCAGUCAUGUUCCUGACUUUGCCUAUGGGACUGGGCAGAGGUAUGGCGGCUGGGACCUGCAGAGUGGUUGUGUGAGAUGACUGUAAUUCCAGGCUAACGAACGCUCUGCAGGCGCCUUUGCUGGUUGCCAGCUCUCAGCUUUGUGUUCUGGAAACAUCUUGAACAAAAUGUCACGGAGAGCAUCUCGGCAGUGUCCUGCUGACUGAAGACCUGGGACUGUCGAGGCUGCCAUCUGCCUGCAGCCUCUCGGAACUACAGUUCCAGUGACUAUCAUGGAGCAGAACCUUGAUAAAUGUGUGUGGUAGUUUAGAAAAAAAUGGACACAAGUUUGUUGACACUGUCCCAUCAAGAGGUGGAGUUUACGUUCUCACUCUUUGACUCUAGGCAGACUUGUAACUACUUUGACAAAUGGAGUAUGAUGGGAGUGACACUGUGUGAGUGCUGAGUCUAAGUCAUGAAAGACCAUGAAGCGUUUUCCCGGUUCUCCUGGAAUGUUCAGGCUUGUGACACUUGUGAAUUCCAGCGGCCAUGCUGUGAGAAGUUAAAGCCACAUGGAGAGACCACAUGUGAGUGCUUCAAUUGUCAGCUCUGGUGGAGCUCAGUCUUUGGGUCAUCUCAGCCCAGGUGCCAGACAUGGAACUGAAGAGGCCUCCAGAUGUGUCAGCCCCCAGCUGUUUGAAUCUUCCCAGCUGAGAUUUCAGACACUGUGGAACAGAGAAAAGCCAUUCCUGCUAUGUUCUGCUUUAAGUCUGACCCACAGCAACUGUGAGCUAAUAAAAUGAUUGUUGUGUUAGUCCA